AGUUGGCAGGAUGGCAGCAGCAGACACACAGGGUGGUUAAGAACAACAAACACAGGCAAACCACUUCAAUAGAACAUGGCUGGCGGCCAUAUGGACAUAUUUGAAUCCAACAAUUAAUUCAGCAAAGAAAGCUGCUUGUGGCAAGUUUUGAAUGUGCCAUUCCAGGUAGUGCUUUGAUGAUAAAUGAGGAGAAGAUUGCAAAGAAAAUGACAGCAACAUUUAUAAAAGGGUCUCAUGAAUAUAACACGAUGCCCAGCACAUAGAAAGCAUACAAUAAGUGUUUGUUGGAUAACUGUGGACAGUUCAGUCGACCAGCAAAUUCCUCUUAGGACUCUAGAUGCACGGAGAGUGGCCAGAUUAAUACAGACUGGCAAAAGAAGAACUUGGCAAAGUGAUUUGAUCACACACUUCUCACCCUCACAUCUCCUGACAGUUCCCCUAAUCCCUGCCCCACUUCCCCGCCAUGGGCUUCCAUCAGGAAACUCCUUGAUAUCAUCUUCGAGAAGAAAACUGAGGCAUAGAACAUUUGGGAAUGAAUCUAAGACUACACAUCUAGAAUAGCAGAGGAAGGCAAUGUAUCGCAUCCUGUAUUACCUUCCCCUGACCUCAUAGCUUCCCAAAACAGGAACAAUCAUGGGCUUUGAAGUUACAGGAAUGCAGAUGUGAUUCCUAUGGAUGAGGGUAACCUAGAGGCUAGAAGAACAAUAGGACAGAAGAAGCCUGGGUCCCUGAACAACCUUGUGGAGCAUAGACACCUACGUGGCCUGGACUGCCAGCUCACAAUGGGCCUCUCUGUGAGAGAAGGAAACUUCCCUCUUGUUUAAGCAACUGUGCUUUUGAGAAUCUCUUGGUCUAUACCCUAAUGAAUAAGGCCAUCAUAAAUGGAUAUCAAAGUAAGGAAAUUUGUGUAAAUGAUUUAAUAAAACAUUACCUCAGGUAUGAAAUAA
RNAcentral lists this long non-coding RNA (947 nucleotides) under Homo sapiens (human). RNAcentral describes it as "long intergenic non-protein coding RNA 2269". The record is from RNAcentral. Lineage: Eukaryota; Metazoa; Chordata; Mammalia; Primates; Hominidae.